Myroides profundi is the source of this 71-nucleotide non-coding RNA. NCBI's taxonomy places the organism in Bacteria, Pseudomonadati, Bacteroidota, Flavobacteriia, Flavobacteriales, Flavobacteriaceae. The record is from Rfam.
UACCUUUGCAAACGUAAAUACGGAUACACCGUAUUUCAUGCAUAAAAAUCAUUAAAAAUAAUAUUGGCAUG